RNAcentral lists this ribosomal RNA (200 nucleotides) under uncultured bacterium. Its description in RNAcentral is "partial 16S ribosomal RNA". It matches the Rfam family "Bacterial small subunit ribosomal RNA", at positions 335 to 524 of the family's 1533-position model. The record is from RNAcentral.
ACUCCUACGGAGGCAGGCAGCAGUAGGGAAUCUUCCGCAAUGGGCGAAAGCCUGACGGAGCAACGCCGCGUGAGUGAUGAAGGGUUUCGGCUCGUAAAACUCUGUUAUUAGGGAAGAACAAAUGUGUAAGUAACUGUGCACAUCUUGACGGUACCUAAUCAGAAAGCCACGGCUAACUACGUGCCAGCAGCCGCGGUAAU